UAAUGUGAGGGCAAUCUGGAUGUGACAUCUGUCACCCCACUGAUCACCAGGGUUGAUUCAACUGAUCUGGCUGGCUAGGUGGUGUCCCCUUCCUCCCUCACUUGUUUCUUGUGUGUCCCUCCUGGAGCUGCAUGCUCAGUCGAAGAGUAUGAACACUCCCUAUAGAGGAGGACAGUUCUUCAGUCAAGGGUAUACAAGUAGCUGUGCUCCCUGCUAGAACCUCCAAACAAUCUCUCAAGAAAUGCUUUGGUUUUAGAUUGUGACUGAUUUUAUCUCAGAAUUUUGAAUGAGCUGAAAAGCAAAAUGUCUCCAAAUAAUUGCUU
Molecule: small nuclear RNA, 323 nt
Filed under: Castor canadensis (American beaver)
Lineage: Eukaryota; Metazoa; Chordata; Mammalia; Rodentia; Castoridae
Description: 7SK RNA (ENSCCNG00000002759.1)
Rfam family: 7SK RNA (bases 1-290)
About the family: 7SK was discovered as an abundant small nuclear RNA in the mid-70s but a possible function has only recently been suggested. Two independent studies have found that 7SK RNA binds the CDK9/cyclin T complex (known as elongation factor P-TEFb). P-TEFb activates transcription by phosphorylating the C-terminal domain of RNA polymerase II.
Source: RNAcentral